CUACGGGGGGCUCCAGUGGGGAAUAUUGGACAAUGGGCCACAAGCCUGAUCCAGCAAUUCUGUGUGCACGAUGAAGGUCUUCGGAUUGUAAAGUGCUUUCAGUUGGGAAGAAGAAAGUGACGGUACCAACAGAAGAAGCGACGGCUAAAUACGUGCCAGCAGCCGCGGUAAUACGUAUGUCGAAGCGUUAUCCGGAUUUAUUGGGCGUAAAGCGCGUCUAGGCGGAAAAAUAAGUCUGAUGUUAAAAUGCGGGGCUCAACUCCGUAUUGCGUUGGAAACUGUUUUUCUAGAGUACUGGAGAGGUGGGCGGAACUACAAGUGUAGAGGUGAAAUUCGUAGAUAUUUGUAGGAAUGCCGAUGGAGAAGUCAGCUCACUGGACAGAUACUGACGCUAAAGCGCGAAAGCGUGGGGAGCAAACAGGAUUAGAUACCCCGGUAGUC
RNAcentral lists this ribosomal RNA (441 nucleotides) under uncultured bacterium. Its description in RNAcentral is "partial 16S ribosomal RNA". It matches the Rfam family "Bacterial small subunit ribosomal RNA", at positions 339 to 795 of the family's 1533-position model. The record is from RNAcentral.